GUCAUUCGUGCGUGAUACUCUAUUUUGCCAUUUCAACUCUUUUUCUUUUACUUUCAACUUUUUGAUUAUUUGCCUACCAAGCCCUUCUCCUUCCCCCUCCCACUUUCCACAAUUCCAUUUAAAUUAUUUAUUUUCAAGCGUGAUACUGUUAUGAUUAACUAAACCCUUUUAGCCUUAGCCCAGUUAUCGCUUCGACAAAGUAAUCGUGUGAUA
Molecule: long non-coding RNA, 213 nt
Filed under: Gossypium raimondii (Peruvian cotton)
Lineage: Eukaryota; Viridiplantae; Streptophyta; Magnoliopsida; Malvales; Malvaceae
Description: long non-coding RNA (GRAI_LNC006177)
Source: RNAcentral